Felis catus (domestic cat) is the source of this 2762-nucleotide long non-coding RNA. RefSeq lists it as uncharacterized. The transcript is spliced from 3 exons. Lineage: Eukaryota; Metazoa; Chordata; Mammalia; Carnivora; Felidae. The record is from RefSeq and is a predicted model, not a curated record.
UGGAGGUAGGGCUGGGGGUCAGGGGAUGGGUGACAAGAAAAUCAUUCAGAUAGAACCAAAGAGAGCAUUUGCCACGGAGAGCAGCAAAUAAAGUGUGAGCGUGUGUGUGUGUGCGUGCGCGCGUGUGCAUAGGAGUGAGGGGAACGGGACAGGAGAUGCUUGGAACACAGCUGUGAAAUGAGACUCAAAGUGAUACUCAUGGUCACAGAUCUGUAGCUAUAACAGCCUGCAGUGUCUAUGCUCCCUAAUUCGACCCUGAGGUGACUCCACAGGGAGGCAAAUGUGUCUGAAUAUUCCUUUUCUCUCGUGCUGUUUUUGAAACUGCAUCCUCUAGAAACAAGCCCCUCCAGAGGCUCUUGGAAGAGGAUUCUGUGGUCACAUAAAUGUGGGAGCCUACUCCUGUAUCCCCCCUGAGCAUUCACAAGGCAUUAGCACGGGAAAGGCCCUGAGAAGUCCUGCAGUUAAGAAGUCCUUGUAACUUUGUUUAGGCCAGGGUUUCCCUGAUCAGGGAACCCUUUUCACAUGUUACACCCAUCUACAUCCCAUAGUUCCAGGAAACGCUUUGGGAGCCUACCCCUCCACCAAAACGACUGGGACACAGUUCAUGUCAUUGUGAUUGAGUGGAUGUUUUCAAACUUAAAACUGAAAAAUUAGUUCAACUCUGUAUUAGUUUCCUAGGGCUGCUGUAACCAAUUUAUUUUUUGCAAAUGGUUUCAGGUAGGCAUCCACUGGUACUUUCUUCCAGAAGGAGCCACGUGGGCUAUAGCACCAUUUGUAAAUAAACUGUCCUUUCCAAUUGAUUUGCUUUUCUCCAAGGAGGAUAAAGUGUCAUGGAGGAGGUGGGAUUUCAGGAGCUGCAGGAAUAUGGGGGUGAGGGACUCUGGUGAGGGGGUGUCCUAUGGAAGAAGGGAAGGGAGCUAGAGACAGGUGUCUGAAUGAGGAGAAGGGCCAGGUGCUAUGGGCUCAGAGGGCCAAGCGACACCAGGUUAGCACUUAGAGGACAGGGCACCCCUUCCCUUCCAGCGGGGGUGGGGCCAGAACUCCUGGAACACGGAACCCCUGGACAGAGUGUGCCUGUGUCUACGGGGUGUGGUCCCAAGUGAUGGUCACUGGAGAUCUGGGGUGUUGACAGGAAAGCAGAGCACAGGGCCUGGGAAUGGGGGACGGGAGCCCAGGGGGAUAGCCCAGGCUAGAAAACUGAGCAGGAGCCCUGUCCCCCUGAUGUGGUUGGCAGAUGUGUCCGCCUCCCUGGGCACUCACUUUUCCAUGAACACUGAUCAGUCCUGAAGGCACCUGCUUCUUGGCCUGAGUGUGUGCUCGCAAUGUGUGUGGGCAGCCAGAAAUGCUAAUUAACUUGUGUCUCCAGGAGCAUCCCUAACCCAGGGCAGAUGAGAUUUGGUCCGUGCUCUCUCAGACCAGGCCUCCACUUACAUCUGCUGCCAAAUGCUAGAGCAGACACCAGACCUGUGUUCUCUGUCGCUCCUGGAAGGACGGCUAUGGCUUCUUUUCAAGGGCCUUGAGUCUCAAGGGCAUCCUGUAUGUGUGCCAGUUCACGGAACCAUUGUGCUCCAGCUCUCCAUCCUGGCAAGCAGUUUGUUAAAGACUAGCGGUGCGGCUAAUCGCCAGUGCAUAAUGCCCACACAUACACGUUUUUCCUUUUUAUAUAACACAUUAUGCUAAUCACCCUGUAUUCCAUUUUUCAAUAAAAGGUCAGCGGAGCACUGUUUGUUCAGAAUGUGCAAUUUAAACUUCAUGUCUGUCAUUAGAGAUAAUCUAGGUUUGCUGUAUCAAGUGGGGUUGUCAUAGAAACCAGACCCGUAAGCUCUGUUUAUGGCCUUUGGAGAAUAAACACUUUGCAUUUAUUUCUCUGGCAAGGAAAAAAAAAAAGUCAGAAAUCAUCGAACAAUUAAGUAAGGUUUGAAAACAAAGGGGUAAUAGCCCAGAAGAGAGAGCUAUGUCAUUCAUCAAAAAUCAAUAAUUGUCACACAGUCGGUAUACCCAGGCAUUCAAGCAGGUGACUGACAGAAGUGGUCAAGUAUUUCCCCUGGGACGAACAAGUAAGGGAGAGUGGAUGUGUUACUAUGCCGAGUACAGAAUUAAUUUAAGUGUGCUAAUGGGUUUUAUCCAGGCUAUUAUACCCUUGAAAACCAUUGCGUGUAAGUUGCAUUGAGUGUCUGAUCAGGUUUUUUUUUCCAUGUAUUUGGUCAUUUGUGAACUCCAAAUAGCUGAGAUGAUUUCAUAUUGUUUCUCUGAUCUUCCUAUCAUUUAGAAGGACCUUCUCCGGAAGCAGUUCAGGGAUCCCGAGCCUUAGAUUUUUUUAGAUCCUGCCUGGGAAGUAUCAUUUUUAUUAAGUAAAAGGACAACCUAGUUCAAUUUGAACACAUUUUUUUAGUAUAUCUCCAAUAUUGCAUGGCUACACUUCCAUUAAAAUUAUUUGUUGGUUAUCUGAAAUUCAACUUUAACUGUAUGUCCUGUAUUAUAUCUGUUACUUUGUGUUUGAGGGGUCCAAGGAGAUGAAGAGGUAAUUCUCUGAACUCUCCUAGCAGCCUGAGGCCUGUGCUUCCUUUAACAGGGGAAUGAGAAGUGUGUGCACAGGAUGUGUGUGCAUGACUAAUCCUGUUAAAUUACAGUGUAAUUGUGGCUCUAAUUUGCUGGAGGCGCCAGCAAAGUCAAAUUAAAAAAAAGUCACCUGCUUGCAAAUGACCAAACAUACACUUGGCAUAGCCACUCUGUAAGGGGAAAAUUUCUGUUUUAAAAAAAAA